Molecule: ribosomal RNA, 253 nt
Filed under: uncultured prokaryote
Description: partial 16S ribosomal RNA
Rfam family: Bacterial small subunit ribosomal RNA
Source: RNAcentral
ACGUAGGGGGCAAGCGUUGUCCGGAUUUAUUGGGCGUAAAGAGCGUGUAGGCGGCCUGAAAGGUCAGCUGUGAAAACUCGAGGCUCAACCUCGAGACGUCGGUUGAAACCAUCUGGCUAGAGUCCGGAAGAGGAGUGUGGAAUUCCCGGUGUAGCGGUGAAAUGCGCAGAUAUCGGGAAGAACACCCGUGGCGAAGGCGGCACUCUGGGACGGUACUGACGCUGAGACGCGAAAGCGUGGGGAGCGAACAGGA